GUACUGCUGAAGAGUCCCAAACUAGGACGGUUGAAACAGCUGUCCAGUAC
This is a non-coding RNA of Trichobilharzia regenti, 50 nucleotides long. The record is from Rfam. Lineage: Eukaryota; Metazoa; Platyhelminthes; Trematoda; Strigeidida; Schistosomatidae.